RNAcentral lists this ribosomal RNA (825 nucleotides) under uncultured Alphaproteobacteria bacterium. RNAcentral describes it as "bacterial SSU rRNA". It matches the Rfam family "Bacterial small subunit ribosomal RNA", at positions 66 to 939 of the family's 1533-position model. The record is from RNAcentral. Lineage: Bacteria; Pseudomonadati; Pseudomonadota; Alphaproteobacteria.
ACGAAGUAGCAAUACUUAGUGGCAGACGGGUGAGUAACAUGUGGGUAUCUACCCUUUGGCCUGGAAUAACACGAGGAAACUUGUGCUAAUACCGGAUAAGUCUUUACGGAGAAAGCUUUAUGCACCAUUGGAUGAGCCCGCACUUGAUUAGUUUGUUGGUAGGGUAAUGGCCUACCAAGACUAUGAUCAAUAGCUGAUUUGAGAGGAUGAUCAGCCACAUUGGGACUGAGACACGGCCCAAACUCCUACGGGAGGCAGCAGUGGGGAAUCUUGCACAAUGGAGGAAACUCUGAUGCAGCGAUGCCGCGUGAGUGAAGAAGGCCUUUGGGUUGUAAAGCUCUUUCGUCGGGGAAGAAAAUGACUGUACCCGAAUAAGAAGGUCCGGCUAACUUCGUGCCAGCAGCCGCGGUAAUACGAAGGGACCUAGCGUAGUUCGGAAUUACUGGGCUUAAAGAGUUCGUAGGUGGUUGAAAAAGUUGGUGGUGAAAUCCCAGAGCUUAACUCUGGAACUGCCAUCAAAACUUUUCAGCUAGAGUAUGAUAGAGGAAAGCAGAAUUUCUAGUGUAGAGGUGAAAUUCGUAGAUAUUAGAAAGAAUACCAAUUGCGAAGGCAGCUUUCUGGAUCAUUACUGACACUGAGGAACGAAAGCAUGGGUAGCGAAGAGGAUUAGAUACCCUCGUAGUCCAUGCCGUAAACGAUGUGUGUUAGACGUUGGAAAUUUAUUUUCAGUGUCGCAGGGAAACCGAUAAACACACCGCCUGGGGAGUACGACCGCAAGGUUAAAACUCAAAUGAAUUGACGGGGACCCGCACAAGUAGUGGAGCA